UCCCGGUCCCCUCGCAACGAUAGACGGUAAACUCCGCCAGGCCCGGAAGGGAGCAACGGUAGCUGUCAACUCGUGUGCCGGGGUGUGGCUGGUUGGA
This 97-nucleotide signal recognition particle RNA is filed under the name Spongiibacteraceae bacterium. Its description in RNAcentral is "signal recognition particle sRNA small type". It matches the Rfam family "Bacterial small signal recognition particle RNA". From Rfam's summary of the family: The signal recognition particle (SRP) is a universally conserved ribonucleoprotein involved in the co-translational targeting of proteins to membranes. Archaeal SRP consists of a 7S RNA and homologues of the eukaryotic SRP19 and SRP54 proteins. In most bacteria, the SRP consists of a 4.5S RNA and the Ffh protein (a homologue of the eukaryotic SRP54 protein). The record is from RNAcentral. Lineage: Bacteria; Pseudomonadati; Pseudomonadota; Gammaproteobacteria; Cellvibrionales; Spongiibacteraceae.